Molecule: transfer RNA, 70 nt
Filed under: Laeops kitaharae
Lineage: Eukaryota; Metazoa; Chordata; Actinopteri; Pleuronectiformes; Bothidae
Also listed under: 1 other name
Description: tRNA-Tyr
Rfam family: tRNA
About the family: Transfer RNA (tRNA) molecules are approximately 80 nucleotides in length. Their secondary structure includes four short double-helical elements and three loops (D, anti-codon, and T loops). Further hydrogen bonds mediate the characteristic L-shaped molecular structure. tRNAs have two regions of fundamental functional importance: the anti-codon, which is responsible for specific mRNA codon recognition, and the 3' end, to which the tRNAs corresponding amino acid is attached (by aminoacyl-tRNA synthetases). tRNAs cope with the degeneracy of the genetic code in two manners: having more than one tRNA (with a specific anti-codon) for a particular amino acid; and 'wobble' base-pairing, i.e. permitting non-standard base-pairing at the 3rd anti-codon position.
Source: RNAcentral
GGCAGGGUGGCUGAGAGGUAAGCGGUGGAUUGUAGACCCAUAAACAAAGGUUUAACUCCUUUUCCUGCCA